UGAGUAACCUGCCCUUAACUCUGGGAUAAGCCUGGGAACCUGGGUCUAAUACCGGAUAUGACUCCUCAUCGCAUGGUGGGGGGUGGAAAGCUUUAUUGUGGUUUUGGAUGGACUCGCGGCCUAUCAGCUUGUUGGUGAGGUAAUGGCUCACCAAGGCGACGACGGGUAGCCGGCCUGAGAGGGUGACCGGCCACACUGGGACUGAGACACGGCCCAGACUCCUACGGGAGGCAG
RNAcentral lists this ribosomal RNA (234 nucleotides) under uncultured bacterium. Its description in RNAcentral is "partial 16S ribosomal RNA". It matches the Rfam family "Bacterial small subunit ribosomal RNA", at positions 118 to 351 of the family's 1533-position model. The record is from RNAcentral.